ACCCGCUGAACUUAAGCAUAUCAAUAAGCGGAGGAAAAGAAACCAACAGGGAUUGCCUUAGUAACUGCGAGUGAAGCGGCAAAAGCUCAAAUUUGAAAUCUGGUGCCUUCGGCGCCCGAGUUGUAAUUUGGAGAGACAUCUUCGGAGUAGACGCUGUCCUAAGUUCCUUGGAACAGGACGUCACAGAGGGUGAGAAUCCCGUGCCUGGAUGGCUGUUCUACUUCAUGUGAAGUGUCUUCGACGAGUCGAGUUGUUUGGGAAUGCAGCUCAAAAUGGGAGGUAAAUUUCUUCUAAAGCUAAAUAUUGGCGAGAGACCGAUAGCGCACAAGUAGAGUGAUCGAAAGAUGAAAAGCACUUUGAAAAGAGAGUUAAAAAGUACGUGAAAUUGUUGAAAGGGAAGCGCUUGAGACCAGACUCGACCAGUGGUGAUCAGCGGUGCUUCUGUGCCGUGCACUUGCCAUUGGUUGGGCCAGCAUCGGUUUGGACGGCGGGAUAAAGACCUAAGGAAUGUGGCUCCCUCCGGGGAGUGUUAUAGCCUUGAGUGCAAUGCCGCCAGUCUGGACCGAGGACCGCGCUUCGGCUAGGAUGCUGGCGUAAUGGUCUU
Molecule: ribosomal RNA, 604 nt
Filed under: uncultured fungus
Lineage: Eukaryota; Fungi
Description: eukaryotic LSU rRNA
Rfam family: Eukaryotic large subunit ribosomal RNA
Source: RNAcentral